AUGGCUGUCGUCAGCUCGUGUCGUGAGAUGUUGGGUUAAGUCCCGCAACGAGCGCAACCCUUGUCAUUAGUUGCUACAUUCAGUUGGGCACUCUAAUGAGACUGCCGGUGACAAACCGGAGGAAGGUGGGGAUGACGUCAAGUCCUCAUGGCCCUUAUGGGUAGGGCUUCACACGUAAUACAAUGGCGCGUACAGAGGGCUGCCAAGGAGCGAUCUGGAGCCAAUCCCGAAAAGCGCGUCGCAGUCCGGAUUGCAGUCUGCAACUCGACUGCAUGAAGUCGGAAUCGCUAGUAAUCGCGGAUCAGCAUGUCGCGGUGAAUACGUUCCCGGGUCUUGUACACACCGCCCGUCACACCAUGGGAGUGGGUUUCACCAGAAGCCGGUCGCCUAACCGCAAGGGGGGCGCCGACCACGGUGAGAUUCAUGACUGGGGUGAAGUCGUAACAAGGUAGCCGUAUCGGAAGGUGCGGCUGGAUCACCUCCUUUCUAAGACGCGCCUCUCCAGCGCCCACCAUCUAUCGGUUGUCCUUUUCGUGACCCAACGGGUCUGUAGCUCAGUUGGUUAGAGCACCGUCUUGAUAAGGCGGGGGUCGAUGGUUCGAGUCCAUCCAGACCCGCCAACCAAUCGAGACCCAUGCGGGAGAGCAAGGCAAGUCAGGCGGGGCCAUAGCUCAGCUGGGAGAGCGCCUGCUUUGCAAGCAGGAGGUCAUCGGUUCGAUCCCGAUUGGCUCCACCAGCAACGAGUGUGGUGAGGAACCAGCAGGCAGCUUUCGCUUUGGGUAGCGGGGAUGCCUGGUGUUUCUUCGGAAGCAUCGAUCGGCUGCUCUUUAACAAUCCGGGAUGGAAGGUAAAGUUGUUCUCGUCUUUGAGGGCGCGCGCGUGCGGUUUGCGUGUGCUGGAAGAGGCGAGGGCUAACUGGGUUAUGUAUUGCAUCGUGUCUUCACCGCGCAAGUGGUGGGGAUGCAAGCACAAGCGUGAGAAUUUCCUAUUUCUUUGAGAUGUCCUGGGGGACUUUGCCCUGGGAUGCUUUGCGCCUGUCAAAGGGGGCGAGGCGGCAAGGUUAUAGGGUCAAGCGAAUAAGUGCAUGUGGUGGAUGCCUUGGCGAUAACAGGCGAUGAAGGACGCGACAGCCUGCGAUAAGCUGCGGGGAGCCGGCAAAUGGGCUUUGAUCCGCAGAUUUCCGAAUGGGGAAACCCGG
This 1198-nucleotide small RNA is filed under the name uncultured Nitrosomonadaceae bacterium. RNAcentral's name for it is "bacterial SSU rRNA". The stretch from base 1 to 486 matches the Rfam family "Bacterial small subunit ribosomal RNA", at positions 1045 to 1533 of the family's 1533-position model. Lineage: Bacteria; Pseudomonadati; Pseudomonadota; Betaproteobacteria; Nitrosomonadales; Nitrosomonadaceae. The record is from RNAcentral.